GGGCCCAUAGCUCAGCGGCAGAGCGGCCGGCUCAUAACCGGUUGGUCCCUGGUUCGAAUCCGGGUGGGCCCACCA
This 75-nucleotide transfer RNA is filed under the name Chloroflexota bacterium. Its description in RNAcentral is "Chloroflexi bacterium (hot springs metagenome) tRNA-Met". It matches the Rfam family "tRNA". From Rfam's summary of the family: Transfer RNA (tRNA) molecules are approximately 80 nucleotides in length. The record is from RNAcentral. RNAcentral also lists the same sequence under 2 other names. Lineage: Bacteria; Bacillati; Chloroflexota.